This is a long non-coding RNA of Bubalus bubalis (water buffalo), 936 nucleotides long. RefSeq lists it as uncharacterized. The transcript has 3 exons. The record is from RefSeq and is a predicted model, not a curated record. Lineage: Eukaryota; Metazoa; Chordata; Mammalia; Artiodactyla; Bovidae.
UUAUUACUGUUCAUCACAAUAAACUGAAAAUAUAAGAAGAGAGGAAUCAAACAGCCCCAGUGAAAGGGAUGGAUCUUAUGUUCCUGAGGCCACAAGCUGAGAGCUAGAGAAUUCAAGAUUCCAACAGCCUCUGCUUCAGACUGUCCUACCUACUGAGGCUUUUGGUCAAAAGAAGUCUGAUAUCAUUCAGAUUCUCCCUGUCAUGAGACUGAUGCCAACUCAGUCACCUCAAGCAGAUUACUUUCAAAGAACCUACCUCUUAUUCUUGAUAAAAAAACAAGAGUGAGCUUGGCAGACACAGGAGAUGUUUUGAUGCUGGAGGGCCUGACACCGCAGGUGAAGAAAAAGAAGUGUGUGUGUGUGUUUGGGGAUCACUAACAAGGUGAGACUGGGAGAGGUGGGUCUGUGUUUCCCUGUAGCAGAGGGUCAGCAAGCACAGAGAAAGAACUCAAGCUGGGAAGCAUUUUAAAGGAUUCUACUAAAAGAUAAAGAAGGAGACCCUGGACUGUGAAACAGUAUUGUUCAAGGCAUGUGGAAGCAUUCCAGUCAAAGGGGAAAAGAAACAAGCAAUAAGGAAACCCCGGGAGAGAGGAAUAAUAUUGCACACGUCACUCAAAGCUCAGGGGUCUGAGCUACAUUCGCUUGGAGCGGCGAGAGAGGAAGGAGGAGAAAUCAUCUGAGUUUGAGUCGGUGUCCACAGGCUGUCCUGCAGGGACAGCUGUCCUCCGGAGGACUGGUCAGUGUUUUUUGUGGAAGCCUGAUUUUCUAAAAUUAAUUUCUUUAUUCUGGCCUGAUUUGGUACUUCUCUUAGUGUCACUAUUCAAGUAUAAGAAAUGUACAUGCUGUUGUUGAAGGACAUGCUUUCCUUCUUGGGGUAUCUAAGAUUUCCCACUCCCCCAUUCAUAAAGAAUUUCAUAACCCUAGGCUUAGAAGCUG